Molecule: ribosomal RNA, 497 nt
Filed under: uncultured bacterium
Lineage: Bacteria
Description: partial 16S ribosomal RNA
Rfam family: Bacterial small subunit ribosomal RNA
Source: RNAcentral
GAUGAACGCUGGCGGCGUGCCUAAUACAUGCAAGUCGAGCGAACGGACGAGAAGCUUGCUUCUCUGAUGUUAGCGGCGGACGGGUGAGUAACACGUGGAUAACCUACCUAUAAGACUGGGAUCACUUCGGGAAACCGUAGCUAAUACCGUAUAAUAUUUUGAACCGCAUGGUUCAAAAGUAAAAGACGGUCUUGCUGUCACUUAUAGAUGGAUCCGCGCUGCAUUAGCUGGUUGGUAAGGUAACGGCUUACCAAGGCAACGAUGCAUAGCCGACCUGAGAGGGUGAUCGGCCACACUGGAACUGAGACACGGUCCAGACUCCUACGGGAGGCAGCAGUAGGGAAUCUUCCGCAAAGGGCGAAAGCCUGACGGAGCAACGCCGCGUGAGUGAUGAAGGUCUUCGGAUCGUAAAACUCUGUUAUUAGGGAAGAACAUAUGUGUAAGUAACUGUGCACAUCUUGACGGUACCUAAUCAGAAAGCCACGGCUAACUACGUG